CACCUUUAUCUUUCCACCUGUGCACCUUUUGUAGACUUAGAUGUAACCUUUUUCCGAGGCAACUCGGGGUUGGGAGGAAUGCUUUUAUAAGGCUUUCCUUGUGCAUCCUAGUCUAUGUUUUAUAUACUCCAAACAUGUAACAGAAUGUAUCAUUGGGCUUUGUGCCUAUAAAACUAUAUACAACUUUCAGCAACGGAUCUCUUGGCUCUCGCAUCGAUGAAGAACGCAGCGAAAUGCGAUAAGUAAUGUGAAUUGCAGAAUUCAGUGAAUCAUCGAAUCUUUGAACGCACCUUGCGCUCCUUGGUAUUCCGAGGAGCAUGCCUGUUUGAGUGUCAUUAAAUUCUCAACCUUUAUUAGCUUUCGCAAGCUUGGUAAAGGAUUGGAUGUGAGGGCUUAUGCUGGCUUCGAAAGAUGUCUGCUCCCUUCAAAUAUAUUAGCUGGUGCCCGUGCGGAACCGUCUAUUGGUGUGAUAAUUAUCUACGCUAUUAGACAUCUGCAUUAAAUGGGUUAUACUGCUUCUAACUGUCUAUUUAAUUAGACAAUACAUGACUAUUUGACCUCAAAUCAGGUAGGACUACCCGCUGAACUUAAGCAUAUCAAUAGCCGGAGGGAGNUCAAUAUUGAAUAAACUUGACGUGGUUGUAGCUGAUCUUUUCGAAGAUAUGUGCUCGCCUGUCACCUUUAUCUUUCCACCUGUGCACCUUUUGUAGACUUAGAUGUAACCUUUUUCGAGGCAACUCGGGGUUGGGAGGAAUGCUUUUAUAAGGCUUUCUUGUGCAUCUAGUCUAUGUUUUAUAUACUCAAACAUGUAACAGAAUGUAUCAUGGGCUUUGUGCUAUAAACUAUAUACACUUUCGCACGGAUCUCUUGGCUCUCCAUGAUGAAGAACGCA
RNAcentral lists this ribosomal RNA (892 nucleotides) under Gymnopilus picreus. RNAcentral describes it as "eukaryotic LSU rRNA". The stretch from base 182 to 335 matches the Rfam family "5.8S ribosomal RNA". The record is from RNAcentral. Lineage: Eukaryota; Fungi; Basidiomycota; Agaricomycetes; Agaricales; Galerinaceae.